CAGCCGCCGCGGUAAUACGUAGGGUGCAAGCGUUAAUCGGAAUUACUGGGCGUAAAGCGUGCGCAGGCGGUGAUGUAAGACAGUUGUGAAAUCCCCGGGCUCAACCUGGGAACUGCAUCUGUGACUGCAUUGCUGGAGUGCGGCAGAGGGGGAUGGAAUUCCGCGUGUAGCAGUGAAAUGCGUAGAUAUGCGGAGGAACACCGAUGGCGAAGGCAAUCCCCUGGGCCUGCACUGACGCUCAUGCACGAAAGCGUGGGGAGCAAACAGGAUUAGAUACCCCCGUAGUCCCUGUCUCUUAUAA
This 301-nucleotide ribosomal RNA is filed under the name uncultured bacterium. RNAcentral describes it as "partial 16S ribosomal RNA". It matches the Rfam family "Bacterial small subunit ribosomal RNA", at positions 509 to 809 of the family's 1533-position model. The record is from RNAcentral.